CCUCACCGCUGUGGUCGAGUCCCGAGGGCUCCAAUCCAGAAGACGACUGGGAGGCACCAAGGCUUUGUGGGUCUUCACGACUGGGCUCCCUGCUGUUUAAAUCCUCUGUCUCAGCACUGAACAGACAGCAAUAAGAAAGGACCGCAAUUACCAGCCACAGCUUUACAGCCUGUGAACUGGGUGGCCUUCGAGUCACUGGUCAGCAAACCGCUUCUUUCCUCCAAACUGCCGCAGGGACUUUCAUGGCGACAACAGCACCAGUUCCCCAUCUGCUUGCUCCCUCAGCCUGGGAGGUCGGACAGGCUGUAGGCUGAAUGAGGCCUCUGGUCCAAAGCAACCACAAGCGACCUGGCGAGUCGCCGAAGCCUGAAGAUUUCAGGACUCCAUGAUGACGACGGAGGGAUAAGCUGCUGCUAACGCAAGGGAGAAACCAUGUUUAUGUCCUAUAAAAAGUGUGUUGACAGCUAAAAGCACAGAAUGAGUGAUCAACACACUGACUGUGAUCUAACACGUUACAGUUUGUUAUGUAACAAGUUCCCGUUACUGUAAGUACACAAUUUGUCGUAUUUAAUAAAAUACAAAAUUUUGGUA
Molecule: long non-coding RNA, 591 nt
Organism: Oreochromis niloticus (Nile tilapia)
Lineage: Eukaryota; Metazoa; Chordata; Actinopteri; Cichliformes; Cichlidae
Exons: 2
Source: RefSeq, a predicted model, not a curated record